This 519-nucleotide long non-coding RNA is filed under the name Androctonus crassicauda. Lineage: Eukaryota; Metazoa; Arthropoda; Arachnida; Scorpiones; Buthidae. The record is from RNAcentral.
GGAAUGUUAUUAAUCAUGUUUCUUAUGAUUAGUGAAUUUUUAUAUAUCUUAUUAACUUGCUUAUAUCUGAUUGGACAAAUUACAUUCAUUUGGGAAACAAUUGAUUAUCAUUUCACUGUUUUUCACACAAUCAAUCUAAUCAUUUCGAAUAUACUGACAUGUCUUAUAUGGGAUAUUAUAAUUAUACUAUAUCCAGACCCACGACAAACUGGGCAGCAUUCAUAUAGGAUCCAUCAAAGGAUUGAAGUCUAGGUUUCAAUAGCACCUGGAACAGAUUGAGCUUGGAUCUCUCUUAAAAAAUCUGGAAAUCCGAAAUAGAACCUUGUCUUUUCAGGUGGAAAUUUAGUAUACUGUUACUUAGCUAACUUAUAUCUUUGUGAUAUUUUUUUUUCAUAAUUUGUUUAGCCAACUGAAUUAUAAGUAAGUAAGUAAGUAAGUAAUAGAAAGGGAGGGGCCUAUGCAGCCCAAAUACCGCGACCAAUACAGGUCUAUUGUGCAUCCCUACCAAAUCAUCCCAGA